GCCGGAGUGGCGGAACAGGCAGACGCACGGGACUUAAAAUCCUGUGAUACGCGAGUAUCGUACCGGUUCGAUCCCGGUCUCCGGCACCA
Molecule: transfer RNA, 89 nt
Filed under: Bacillota bacterium
Lineage: Bacteria; Bacillati; Bacillota
Also listed under: 2 other names
Description: tRNA-Leu
Rfam family: tRNA
About the family: Transfer RNA (tRNA) molecules are approximately 80 nucleotides in length.
Source: RNAcentral